RNAcentral lists this ribosomal RNA (253 nucleotides) under uncultured bacterium. Its description in RNAcentral is "partial 16S ribosomal RNA". It matches the Rfam family "Bacterial small subunit ribosomal RNA", at positions 524 to 776 of the family's 1533-position model. The record is from RNAcentral.
UACGUAGGUCGCAAGCGUUGUCCGGAUUUACUGGGCGUAAAGAGCGCGCAGGCGGCUGGUCAAGUCCGAUGUGAAAUCUCCCGGCUCAACUGGGAAACUGCAUCGGAAACUGAUCGGCUUGAAGAUGGGAGAGGGUAGUGGAAUUCCCGGUGUAGUGGUGAAAUGCGUAGAUAUCGAGAGGAACAUCGGUGGCGAAGGCGGCCUUCUGGACCGACACUGACGCUGAGGCGCGAAAGCGUGGGGAGCAAACAGG